RNAcentral lists this ribosomal RNA (722 nucleotides) under uncultured Fusobacterium sp. Its description in RNAcentral is "bacterial SSU rRNA". It matches the Rfam family "Bacterial small subunit ribosomal RNA", at positions 28 to 776 of the family's 1533-position model. The record is from RNAcentral. Lineage: Bacteria; Fusobacteriati; Fusobacteriota; Fusobacteriia; Fusobacteriales; Fusobacteriaceae.
GAUGAACGCUGACAGAAUGCUUAACACAUGCAAGUCAACUUGAACUUCGGUUUGGGUGGCGGACGGGUGAGUAACGCGUAAAGAACUUGCCUCACAGUUAGGGACAACAUUUGGAAACGAAUGCUAAUACCUGAUAUUAUGAUUUUAGGGCAUCCUAGAAUUAUGAAAGCUAUAUGCGCUGUGAGAGAGCUUUGCGUCCCAUUAGCUAGUUGGAGAGGUAACGGCUCACCAAGGCGAUGAUGGGUAGCCGGCCUGAGAGGGUGAACGGCCACAAGGGGACUGAGACACGGCCCUUACCCCUACGGGAGGCAGCAGUGGGGAAUAUUGGACAAUGGACCAAGAGUCUGAUCCAGCAAUUCUGUGUGCACGAUGAAGUUUUUCGGAAUGUAAAGUGCUUUCAGUUGGGAAGAAAAAAAUGACGGUACCAACAGAAGAAGUGACGGCUAAAUACGUGCCAGCAGCCGCGGUAAUACGUAUGUCACAAGCGUUAUCCGGAUUUAUUGGGCGUAAAGCGCGUCUAGGUGGUUAUAUAAGUCUGAUGUGAAAAUGCAGGGCUCAACUCUGUAUUGCGUUGGAAACUGUGUAACUAGAGUACUGGAGAGGUAAGCGGAACUACAAGUGUAGGGGUGAAAUUCGUAGAUAUUUGUAUGAAUGCCGAUGGGGAAGCCAGCUCACUGGACAGAUACUGACGCUGAAGCGCGAAAGCGUGGGUAGCAAACAGG